This 254-nucleotide ribosomal RNA is filed under the name uncultured bacterium. RNAcentral describes it as "partial 16S ribosomal RNA". It matches the Rfam family "Bacterial small subunit ribosomal RNA", at positions 524 to 776 of the family's 1533-position model. The record is from RNAcentral.
UACGUAGGGGGCAAGCGUUGUCCGGAUUCAUUGGGCGUAAAGAGCUCGUAGGCGGUUCGGCAAGUCGGGUGUGAAAACUCCAGGCUCAACCUGGAGACGCCACCCGAUACUGCUGUGACUUGAGUCCGGUAGGGGACCACGGAAUUCCUGGUGUAGCGGUGAAAUGCGCAGAUAUCAGGAGGAACACCGGUGGCGAAGGCGGGUCUCUGGGCAACAACUGACGCUGAGGAGCGAAAGCGUGGGGAGCGAACAGG